GAUGAAGAACGCAGCGAAAUGCGAUAAGUAAUGUGAAUUGCAGAAUUCAGUGAAUCAUCGAAUCUUUGAACGCACAUUGCGCCCGCCAGCAUUCUGGCGGGCAUGCCUGUUCGAGCGUCAUUUCAACCCUCGAGCCCCCCCGGGGGCCUCGGUGUUGGGGGACGGCACACCAGCCGCCCCCGAAAUGCAGUGGCGACCCCGCCGCAGCCUCCCCUGCGUAGUAGCACACACCUCGCACCGGAGCGCGGAGGCGGUCACGCCGUAAAACGCCCAACUUUUUUAGAGUUGACCUCGGAUCAGGUAGGAAUACCCGCUGAACUUAAGCAUAUCAAUAAGCGGAGGA
RNAcentral lists this unclassified non-coding RNA (343 nucleotides) under soil metagenome. RNAcentral describes it as "partial contains 5.8S ribosomal RNA, internal transcribed spacer 2, and large subunit ribosomal RNA". The stretch from base 1 to 120 matches the Rfam family "5.8S ribosomal RNA", at positions 35 to 154 of the family's 154-position model. The record is from RNAcentral.